RNAcentral lists this transfer RNA (62 nucleotides) under Fusarium acuminatum CS5907. Its description in RNAcentral is "tRNA-Leu". Lineage: Eukaryota; Fungi; Ascomycota; Sordariomycetes; Hypocreales; Nectriaceae. The record is from RNAcentral.
UAAAGCUAUAGCUAUUAAUGUUUAUAAGAAGCAUUUAAUCGGUUAAAUUCGUUAACUUUAUC